UUUACCUUCUUGUAUAAGCACUGUGCUAAAAUUGCAGAUACUAGGACUAUAUCUUGGUUUUUGCAAUAAUGCUAGCAGAGUACACACAAGAAGAAAAGUAACAGCA
RNAcentral lists this microRNA precursor (106 nucleotides) under Aotus nancymaae (Ma's night monkey). RNAcentral's name for it is "miRNA (ENSANAG00000002353.1)". It matches the Rfam family "Small nucleolar RNA SNORA81", at positions 1 to 103 of the family's 179-position model. Lineage: Eukaryota; Metazoa; Chordata; Mammalia; Primates; Aotidae. The record is from RNAcentral.